GGGUGUCGUCGGCAUUUCGCACGACGACAGGUUCAUGCGAUGGUCGGGCCGCCUCG
RNAcentral lists this non-coding RNA (56 nucleotides) under Azoarcus sp. RNAcentral describes it as "Li+-I sequence". It matches the Rfam family "nhaA-I RNA". From Rfam's summary of the family: Acidobacteria, Alphaproteobacteria, Betaproteobacteria and Gammaproteobacteria, Verrucomicrobia, cand. division NC10. Downstream gene RNAcentral also lists the same sequence under 1 other name. Lineage: Bacteria; Pseudomonadati; Pseudomonadota; Betaproteobacteria; Rhodocyclales; Zoogloeaceae. The record is from RNAcentral.